RNAcentral lists this ribosomal RNA (406 nucleotides) under uncultured bacterium. Its description in RNAcentral is "partial 16S ribosomal RNA". It matches the Rfam family "Bacterial small subunit ribosomal RNA", at positions 30 to 526 of the family's 1533-position model. The record is from RNAcentral.
AUUGAACGCUGGCGGCAGGCCUAACACAUGCAAGUCGAACGAGUGGCGGACUGGUGAGUAAUGUCUGGGCAACUGCCUGAUGGAGGGGGAUAACUACUGGAACCGGUAGCUAAUACCGCAUACCAUCGGAUGUGCCCAGAUGGGAGUAGCUAGUAGGUGGGGUAACGGCUCACCUAGGCGACGAUCCCUAGCUGGUCUGAGAGGCUGACCAGCCACACUGGAACUGAGACACGGUCCAGACUCCUACGGGAGGCAGCAGUGGGGAAUAUUGCACAAUGGGCGCAAGCCUGAUGCAGCCAUGCCGCGUGUAUGAAGAAGGCUUUCGGGUUGUAAAGUACUUUUAGCGGGGAGGCGUUACCCGCAGAGAAAGCAACGGCUAACUCCGUGCCAGCAGCCGCGGUAAUUC